Molecule: unclassified non-coding RNA, 377 nt
Filed under: plant metagenome
Description: partial contains 5.8S ribosomal RNA, internal transcribed spacer 2, and large subunit ribosomal RNA
Rfam family: 5.8S ribosomal RNA (bases 1-105)
Source: RNAcentral
GAAAUGCGAUAAGUAAUGUGAAUUGCAGAAUUCAGUGAAUCAUCGAAUCUUUGAACGCACCUUGCGCUCCUUGGUAUUCCUUGGAGCAUGCCUGUUUGAGUAUCAUGAAAUCUUCAAAGUAAAUCUUUUGUUAACUCAAUUGGUUUCUACUUUGGUAUUGGAGGUCUUUGCAGCUUCACACCUGCUCCUCUUUGUUCAUUAGCUGGAUCUCAGUGUUAUGCUUGGUUCCACUCGGCGUGAUAAGUUAUCUAUCGCUGAGGACACUUAAAAGGUGGCCAAGGUAAAUGCAGAUGAACCGCUUCUAAUAGUCCAUUGACUUGGACAAUACUUUUAUGAUCUGAUCUCAAAUCAGGUAGGACUACCCGCUGAACUUAAGC